GACGAACGCUGGCGGCGUGCUUAACACAUGCCAGUCGAACGGAAAGGCCCUGCUUUUGUGGGGUGCUCGAGUGGCGAACGGGUGAGUAACACGUGAGUAACCUGCCCUUGACUUUGGGAUAACUUCAGGAAACUGGGGCUAAUACCGGAUAGGAGCUCCUGCUGCAUGGUGGGGGUUGGAAAGUUUCGGCGGUUGGGGAUGGACUCGCGGCUUAUCAGCAUGUUGGUGGGGUAGUGGCUUACCAAGGCUUUGACGGGUAGCCGGCCUGAGAGGGUGACCGGCCACAUUGGGACUGAGAUACGGCCCAGACUCCUACGGGAGGCAGCAGUGGGGAAUAUUGCACAAUGGGCGGAAGCCUGAUGCAGCAACGCCGCGUGCGGGAUGACGGCCUUCGGGUUGUAAACCGCUUUCGCCUGUGACGAAGCGUGAGUGACGGUAAUGGGUAAAGAAGCACCGGCUAACUACGUG
RNAcentral lists this ribosomal RNA (468 nucleotides) under uncultured bacterium. Its description in RNAcentral is "partial 16S ribosomal RNA". It matches the Rfam family "Bacterial small subunit ribosomal RNA", at positions 28 to 507 of the family's 1533-position model. The record is from RNAcentral.